This 115-nucleotide ribosomal RNA is filed under the name Danio rerio (zebrafish). Lineage: Eukaryota; Metazoa; Chordata; Actinopteri; Cypriniformes; Danionidae. The record is from RNAcentral.
GCCGGCAGCUAGCUCUCUGCAACUCUCACAUAGUCGCCCACUGAAGCUAAGCAGGGCUGCGCCCGGUCAGUACCUGGAUGGGAGACCACAUGGGAAAGCUAGGGUGCUGCCGGAA